CCUACGGGGGGCAGCAGUGAGGAAUAUUGGUCAAUGGGAGAGAUCCUGAACCAGCCAAGCCGCGUGAGGGAAGACGGCCCUAUGGGUUGUAAACCUCUUUUGUCGGAGAACAAAACCCGGGACGUGUCCCGGACUGCGUGUAUCCGAAGAAAAAGCAUCGGCUAACUCCGUGCCAGCAGCCGCGGUAAUACGGGGGAUGCGAGCGUUAUCCGGAUUUAUUGGGUUUAAAGGGUGCGUAGGCGGUCCGUUAAGUCAGCGGUAAAAUUGCGGGGCUAAACCCCGUCGAGCCGUUGAAACUGGGAGACUUGAGUGGGCGAGAAGUAGGCGGAAUGCGAGGUGUAGCGGUGAAAUGCAUAGAUAUCGCGCAGAACACCGAUUGCGAAGGCAGCGUACCGGCGCCAGACUGACGCUGAGGCACGAAAGCGUGGGGAGCGAACAGGAUUAGAUACCCUUGUAGUC
Molecule: ribosomal RNA, 459 nt
Filed under: uncultured bacterium
Lineage: Bacteria
Description: partial 16S ribosomal RNA
Rfam family: Bacterial small subunit ribosomal RNA
Source: RNAcentral